RNAcentral lists this ribosomal RNA (84 nucleotides) under Clostridiales bacterium. RNAcentral describes it as "partial 23S ribosomal RNA". It matches the Rfam family "Bacterial large subunit ribosomal RNA", at positions 2839 to 2925 of the family's 2925-position model. Lineage: Bacteria; Bacillati; Bacillota; Clostridia; Eubacteriales. The record is from RNAcentral.
GGAAGACUACCAGUUGAUAGGCCGGGCGUGUAAGCAUAGAAAUAUGUUCAGCUAACCGGUACUAACGCCCGAAGACUUGACCAC